RNAcentral lists this unclassified non-coding RNA (1158 nucleotides) under Hevea brasiliensis (rubber tree). Lineage: Eukaryota; Viridiplantae; Streptophyta; Magnoliopsida; Malpighiales; Euphorbiaceae. The record is from RNAcentral.
AAAUAUUUGUCAAAGCCUAUACACAUCCCUGCUUAGGACUUGCUCUCCAUUUCCUCCAGCGACUUUCCCUUCGAAAAGGGCAAUCUGGUUCAAUCCAACAUCUCUGCCCUUUCCAACCUGAAUGUAUUCAUGGUGAGUAAUAUUCCCUUGCCUUAAUGUGGAGUUAAACCCAGCAAAUAUAUCUUCACUGAUAUUAAUUACUCGUGACGCCUUGCUAAUGCCACCUCGAGUUAUAUGAAACAUCCGAUCAAAAACAUCAGGAUGGCCAUAGUGCAUGCGGACUUUGAGAGGGUUUGCCAACACACGUUGAGCCAAGGUUACAAAGCUAGUCUCUUGAUUGGACAUAAACCAGGCCAACGAAGAGACACUUCCUGUAAAAACAUGUUCUCUUACACCGAGAAUGGUGGGAGGUCGAAUGCCAUGUUUUUUGGCUUGAAAUUCCUGAAGAAGAUUUCUCAUUUUCAUUGCCUCCUCAAGGUAGUUGUCCUGAUUCAUGUCAAUAGUUUGAAUAGCUUCCCCACGAGUAAAAACUAUAGAAUGGUUUUGGUUCUCAGGCUUCCCUUCUCCAAGCUUUGGAUCUCCAGGUAGUUUAAUUGAAUAUAUUUCCUGAUCUUUUCCAUGUACAUCAGCUUUAACAAGCUUCGAGUAAAAGUCCUUGGAAGCCAUUCCAUCAGCAGUGGCACUUUCCUCCACAUGUAUGAAUGCAACUCGAAGCGCCUCAUUCCUCUGCAACAAAAGAGCAAUAUCUGCAGCCUCUUUGUCCUUCCGUUGCUUUUGUUGCCCAUAAAUUUGGCAAGAAACCACGUAAGUGAAUUUUAAGUCAGCUUGUGCCCUUGAUUCACGUGAUAAUUCAAAACCUUCAGUGGCAAAGAAGCCUGUUUGAGAAUGAUCAUCCACUCCUAAUGAUCUCCUUUCCAAAUAACUCUGCAACAUUAAAGCCCUUCUAUAAUACAUCAUUCCUCGUACAGUCCGAGCAAGAGUCUGCCCUCGAUAGGAUGCCCAAAAACGAAGCUCCAAAGUAUCACUAGAGUUUUUUUGAAAAUCAACGUCCUCAGAAGACUCUCCUCUACCAAUCCGUUCCAGAAAAUUCUCCCAUUCAUCUGGGAAAAUUUUCUGAAGAUAGAAAAGGAUUGAUAUCCCAUCCUCAUUUUCAUCUCG